This 74-nucleotide transfer RNA is filed under the name Prasinococcus sp. CCMP1194. RNAcentral describes it as "tRNA-His". It matches the Rfam family "tRNA". Rfam says of the family: Transfer RNA (tRNA) molecules are approximately 80 nucleotides in length. Their secondary structure includes four short double-helical elements and three loops (D, anti-codon, and T loops). The record is from RNAcentral. Lineage: Eukaryota; Viridiplantae; Prasinodermophyta; Palmophyllophyceae; Prasinococcales; Prasinococcaceae.
GUGGAUAUGGACUUAACUGGUUAAAGUGCUAGACUGUGACUCUAGAUAUACGGGUUCAAGCCCCGUUAUUCGCC